RNAcentral lists this ribosomal RNA (497 nucleotides) under uncultured bacterium. Its description in RNAcentral is "bacterial SSU rRNA". It matches the Rfam family "Bacterial small subunit ribosomal RNA", at positions 28 to 524 of the family's 1533-position model. The record is from RNAcentral.
GAUGAACGCUAGCGGCAGGCUUAACACAUGCAAGUCGUGGGGCAGCGCGGACUUCGGUCUGGCGGCGACCGGCAAACGGGUGCGGAACACGUACGCAACCUCCCUCAGAGCGGGGAAUAGCCUCUCGAAAGAGAGAUUAAUACCCCAUAGUAUCUUGAAGACACAUGUCUAUGAGAUUAAAGCUUCGGCACUUUGAGAUGGGCGUGCGGCUGAUUAGGUAGUUGGUAGGUAACGGCCUACCAAGCCGACGAUCAGUAGCUGAUGUGAGGGCAUGAUCAGCCACACGGGCACUGAGACACGGGCCCGACUCCUACGGGAGCAGCAGUGAGGAAUAUUGGUCAAUGGAGGAAACUCUGAACCAGCCAUGCCGCGUGGAGGAUGAAGGUCCUCUGGAUUGUAAACUCCUUUUAUAAAAGAAGAAACCCCAUUUUUCUAAAUGGGUUGACGGUACUUUAUGAAUAAGCACCGGCUAACUCCGUGCCAGCAGCCGCGGUAAU